GCCUUCUCAUUAGCUGGCCUAACGAGCCUGCACCCCAUGGACCCCAUCUCAAUGAAUUAUCAGCUGCUAAUCAAAGGGACAAUUGCCAAAACCACCCCACUACAUCGUGGGAGGGAGCGAGUGGGAGACUCCACCCCACCCCAGCCUCCAGGGACACCUCAGAUGUGAUUAAGUACAUAUCCUGAGACAGACAGAGGUAGACCAUGACUCAGGGACCCAGGACUGCUCCACAGGUGACACAGCUCCUGACACCCAGCCAGCUCAUGGGAGCAGAGAGCCCAUAGGAAGGCUGGGCUCCGAGGCUGCUCCUGGCUGCACUCGCUCUCCCGGCUGACCUCCAGGAGACUCCUCGGACACCUCGUGACCCUCACCUGCUCUCAGGGGCCCAGGCCUGGCCACGUGCACAUCUCAUACCCUGGCCGCCGCCUUCGGUUCAGGGCUGGACACAGGCCCCGAGUCAGAGAGGGACAGCGGGGACAAGAGACGCCUCUUCCUCCAGAUCCUGUUUCCGUCACCCCUCAGCUGGCCCUGGAGUCAUGCCUCCCCACCCUCUGGACACAGCAAGUCAGCCUUCUCACAGAUGUAAACCCACUGCUCAGGGCACCGUGGACACAUGGUAUGUAGUCAACAUACCAGCAGGAUGUGGCAGGACUCACAGGUCUCCCCUGGGAGGUGGGGCCCUGCUGGGAUAGGGUCCAAGGGGCCAAUGAGCAGGCAGGAGAAGCCGGCGCUGAGAUCAACCC
Bos taurus (domestic cattle) is the source of this 743-nucleotide long non-coding RNA. NCBI's taxonomy places the organism in Eukaryota, Metazoa, Chordata, Mammalia, Artiodactyla, Bovidae. The record is from Ensembl.